GGGAGGUAGUGACAAUAAAUAACAAUACAGGGUUCUUUUGGAUCUUGUAAUUGGAAUGAGUACAAUUUAAAUCUCUUAACGAGGAACAAUUGGAGGGCAAGUCUGGUGCCAGCAGCCGCGGUAAUUCCAGCUCCAAUAGCGUAUAUUAAAGUUGUUGCAGUUAAAAAGCUCGUAGUUGAAUUUCGGGAUUGGCGCAUCGGUCGUGCCUUACGGGGUAUGAACUGGUGCAGUCAAUUUCUCACCUUCUGGAGAACCGCGAUGUCCUUAAUUGGGUGCCGCGGGGAACCAGGACCUUUACUUUGAAAAAUUAGAGUGUUUAAAGCAGGCAUUUUUGCUUGAAUACAUUAGCAUGGAAUAAUAAAAUAGGACGGCAUGGUUCUAUUUUGUUGGUUUCUAGGACCACCGUAAUGAUUAAUAGGGAUAGUUGGG
This 429-nucleotide ribosomal RNA is filed under the name uncultured Entrophosporaceae. Its description in RNAcentral is "SSU rRNA". It matches the Rfam family "Eukaryotic small subunit ribosomal RNA", at positions 459 to 886 of the family's 1831-position model. The record is from RNAcentral. Lineage: Eukaryota; Fungi; Glomeromycota; Glomeromycetes; Entrophosporales; Entrophosporaceae.